AGGUGAACCUGCGGAAGGAUCAUUAGAAAAGUAUGCGCCCACACGGGCAACCUGCGGGCAAGUUGGUAAAACGAGAGGAGGUGUUCGUUUUUUUUUUUACCCCCAAUGCACUUAUUGAAAAGACCCAAGUCGAAAAAAGAAAAUGGUGAUGGAAUAUUGGUCAAGGCCUUUGUUCAGCAUGCCGAUAUGUGGGUGUUGCAGGAUAAAAACUUCUGCUUACCUGGAAUCAAAUUUUUGGUGGAUAAUCUUUUGGUUGUUCCCUUAAUUAUGGGCUGUGCAAAAAGAGCUUUUUUUUUGCUGGCCUUAAAUUUAAAAUUCUUUUUCGACGCCGUAAUAACCUUUGCCUAAAUGUUUGUCUGAUCUUUUACUUAUAACGAGUAAAAAAAUUAAUACAACUUUCAACAACGGAUCUCUUGGCUCUCG
This 423-nucleotide unclassified non-coding RNA is filed under the name uncultured fungus. Its description in RNAcentral is "partial contains 18S rRNA, ITS1 and 5.8S rRNA". The record is from RNAcentral. Lineage: Eukaryota; Fungi.